Molecule: ribosomal RNA, 430 nt
Filed under: Microascus alveolaris
Lineage: Eukaryota; Fungi; Ascomycota; Sordariomycetes; Microascales; Microascaceae
Description: eukaryotic LSU rRNA
Rfam family: Eukaryotic large subunit ribosomal RNA
Source: RNAcentral
GCGGCAACAGCUCAAAUUUGAAAUCUGGUCCCCCCGCGGGGCCCGAGUUGUAAUUUGAAGAGGAUGCUUCUGGCAAGGUGCCGUCCGAGUUCCCUGGAACGGGACGCCGCAGAGGGUGAGAGCCCCGUACGGUCGGACGCCGAGCCUCUGUGAAGCUCCUUCGACGAGUCGAGUAGUUUGGGAAUGCUGCUCAAAAUGGGAGGUAAACCCCUUCUAAAGCUAAAUACCGGCCAGAGACCGAUAGCGCACAAGUAGAGUGAUCGAAAGAUGAAAAGCACUUUGAAAAGAGAGUUAAAAAGCACGUGAAAUUGUUGAAAGGGAAGCGCUUGCGACCAGACUCGCGCCCGUCGGAUCAGCCGUCGCUCGUCGGCGGCGCACUCCGGCGGGCUCGGGCCAGCAUCAGUUCGCCUCGGGGGGAGAAAGGCGGCGG